CAAAGAUCUUCUCCUCUCUUACUCUAGCCCUCGCCGCCGCCACAGAUCACACCUCCUCGUACGUCGCUAGUCGCUGCCACCAACCGAAGCGAUGGCCGCCUCCAACGUCGCAUCCAAGGCCCUGGCCGUCGCCGCCAUCCUGUCGGUCGCCGCCUUCUCCGUCGUCUCCGCCCAGGAGGCCCCGGCGCCCAGCCCCGUGUCCGCCGCCGGCGUCGCGACGCCGUCCCUCGCCGCUGCGCUCGUCGCCUCCGGUGCCGCCUUCCUCUUCGCCGCCGUCCGCCACUGAAGAGACUGCCUCCGUCUUCCCCGUCGAUGGCUCACCUACCUAGUACAACCACAUAUAGAUCCAUUUAUUUGUCAUUAGCGAUUUGUUCGUUCGUGUCAUUUUGCCCAGAUCUGCUACUGUCUGUCACUCGGUGAUGGUGAUUAGUAUCUCCUUAUUAGUAGAGAUUGUACCCGUGUGCUUGUAGAUACUAUUUAUCCGGUUUGAUCUAGUACUCAUAUGAUCGCUCCAUUUAGUUUUGAUGAUGCUUGCUGUCUCCCCUGUUUUUUCGUGCUUAUUUCCAGUCUCGCGGUGUAACCC
Molecule: ribosomal RNA, 583 nt
Filed under: Triticum aestivum (bread wheat)
Lineage: Eukaryota; Viridiplantae; Streptophyta; Magnoliopsida; Poales; Poaceae
Description: partial small subunit ribosomal RNA
Source: RNAcentral